UCAGUGGUAGUAAAAGCAAAUAAAUGGCAAGAGGCAAAAAAGGUUGAGGGUGUUUUGAAAAAGAGGUGCUUUGGCUUUAUACCAACGAACAAGGAACCUACAAAUGCACACUUAUCAAGAGGCCCAACAAGUGGUUCUUCCCUGCGGUGAAGGGCGAGGUGCCACACUGGGGUGCGUGACGUAUGAAUUUGAUGUGGAUGGCACGCGCAUUUUGGUGUUUGUUGGCAUGGUCGGGAAACGAGAAACAAAAAGAAUAAGAAUGUGAGGUUCUAGUGGUGAAGACUCAAGACGAAUUAUGUUUUUGAGCUUUGGAAAACUCUGCAUUUUGACGGCAGCAUGUUAUUUCUCUGCAUCGUGGGGGCCAAAUGAAGCAAUUUUAUGUUCGUUUAGUAGAUCAGGGGGCCUGGCACAAAGUUCGGUUAUGGCUGCGAGAUAAGACGCACGCAAAAGUGGUUUUCCAGCCUCUACCUGCUUCGGUGCGGAAAAUGAGCCUCGGUGGAAAUGGGCGCCGGCGGAAUAAUAUCUCGGCAUUUCCAUCACGCCGCCCAAACUUUGUAAUCUCGACUCGCGCGCGCUAUCUGAUUGACUGACUGACUGACAUUGUGUGGCCCUAGCACACGUCGAUAAUGCAAAUGGAAUGGUCUCGGCUCCGAGCUGCACCGCAGGACGAGAGAGACAUUUGCAGUCCUCGUCUUGAGCAUGAUGACACACAUCACAAUACACGUGAAGAAGAAAAAAGAACUUGAUCGUGCAGAAAUCGUGCAAAGUGCUUUUUACACGAGCUGAGUAAAAUAAUAAUGGUGCCCUCGUCGUCAACUUUUUUACUGCCCCGCCGCGUGUUUCCCUCUCGCUUGGUCUUUUUAUUUCCCAUAAUCAGUCAAUUGCCUCGAUUUAGAAACUAUAUUCGGUCAGCAGACGGUCACGCGCGCCACGAUAUAUUCAGUGUUGAGAAGUUGCUUUAUAUUAUUUCGCAUCUUAUUGAAUUGCAGUUUUUAUUUCCUUUUACAACUUUAUACUUCGAUUUUCUUUAUUGCGUAAUAAUUUUCCAGCUGGUAUUGAAUUUUUAUUAUAUCCAGAGGAAAAUCAAUUGCAUAUUGUUUUGGUAUAUCAUGGAAAAAGAUAUUUACUUAAAGUGGCAGUAAAAAAAUGUCUAAAAAUUUUAG
This is a long non-coding RNA of Neocloeon triangulifer, 1163 nucleotides long. RefSeq lists it as uncharacterized. The transcript has 3 exons. NCBI's taxonomy places the organism in Eukaryota, Metazoa, Arthropoda, Insecta, Ephemeroptera, Baetidae. The record is from RefSeq and is a predicted model, not a curated record.